RNAcentral lists this ribosomal RNA (497 nucleotides) under uncultured bacterium. Its description in RNAcentral is "partial 16S ribosomal RNA". It matches the Rfam family "Bacterial small subunit ribosomal RNA", at positions 28 to 507 of the family's 1533-position model. The record is from RNAcentral.
GAUGAACGCUGGCGGCGUGCCUAAUACAUGCAAGUCGAGCGAACAGAUAAGGAGCUUGCUCCUUUGACGUUAGGGGCGGACGGGUGAGUAACACGUGGGUAACCUACCUAUAAGACUGGUAUAACUCCGGGAAACCGGGGCUAAUGCCGGAUAACAUUUAGAACCGCAUGGUUCUAAAGUGAAAGAUGGUUUUGCUAUCACUUAUAGAUGGACCCGCGCCGUAUUAGCUAGUUGGGAAGGUAACGGCUUACCAAGGCAACGAUACGUAGCCGAGCUGAGAGGGUGGUCGCCCGCACUGGAGCUGAGCCGCGGUCCAGGCUCCUACGGGACGCAGCAGUAGGCAAUCUUCCGCAAUGGGCGAAAGCCUGACGGAGCAGCGCCGCGUGAGUGAUGAAGGUCUUCGGAUCGUGAAGCUCUGUUAUUAGGGAAGAACAAAUGUGUACGUAACUGUGCACGUCUUGACGGUAACUAAUCAGAAAGCCACGGCUAACUACGUG